RNAcentral lists this ribosomal RNA (497 nucleotides) under uncultured bacterium. RNAcentral describes it as "partial 16S ribosomal RNA". It matches the Rfam family "Bacterial small subunit ribosomal RNA", at positions 28 to 507 of the family's 1533-position model. The record is from RNAcentral.
GAUGAACGCUGGCGGCGUGCCUAACACAUGCCAGUCGAGCGAACAGACGAGGAGCUUGCUCCUCUGACGUUAGCGGCGGACGGGUGAGUAACACGUGGAUAACCUACCUAUAAGACUGGGAUAACUUCGGGAAACCGGAGCUAAUACCGGAUAAUAUAUUGAACCGCAGGGUGCAAUAGUGAAAGACGGUUUUGCUGUCACUUAUAGAUGGAUCCGCGCCGCAUUAGCUAGUUGGUAAGGUAACGGCUUACCAAGGCAACGAUGCGUAGCCGACCUGAGAGGGUGAUCGGCCACACUGGAACUGAGACACGGUCCAGACUCCUACGGGAGGCAGCAGUAGGGAAUCUUCGGCAAUGGGCGAAAGCCUGACGCAGCAACGCCGCGUGAGUGAUGAAGGCCUUCGGAUCGUAAAACUCUGUUAUUAGGGAAGAACAAAUGUGUAAGUAACUAUGCCCGUCUUGACGGUACCUAAUCAGAAAGCCACGGCUAACUACGUG